UGAGUAACGCGUGAGGAACCUGCCUUUCGGAGGGGGACAACAGUUGGAAACGACUGCUAAUACCGCAUGAUACAUUUGGGCCGCAUGGUCUGAAUGUCAAAGAUUUAUCGCCGAAAGAUGGCCUCGCGUCUGAUUAGCUAGUUGGUGGGGUAACGGCCCACCAAGGCGACGAUCAGUAGCCGGACUGAGAGGUUGGCCGGCCACAUUGGGACUGAGAUACGGCCCAGACUCCUACGGGAGGCAGCAG
RNAcentral lists this ribosomal RNA (247 nucleotides) under uncultured bacterium. RNAcentral describes it as "partial 16S ribosomal RNA". It matches the Rfam family "Bacterial small subunit ribosomal RNA", at positions 107 to 354 of the family's 1533-position model. The record is from RNAcentral.